RNAcentral lists this ribosomal RNA (434 nucleotides) under uncultured bacterium. Its description in RNAcentral is "partial 16S ribosomal RNA". It matches the Rfam family "Bacterial small subunit ribosomal RNA", at positions 29 to 507 of the family's 1533-position model. The record is from RNAcentral.
AGCGAACGCUGGCGGCAGGCCUAACACAUGCAAGUCGAACGAACCUUUCGGGGUUAGUGGCGGACGUGUGAGUAACACGUGGGAACGUGCCUUUAGGUUCGGAAUAACUCAGGGAAACUUGUGCUAAUACCGAAUGUGCCCUUCGGGGGAAAGAUUUAUCGCCUUUAGAGCGGCCCGCGUCUGAUUAGCUAGUUGGUUGAGGUAAUGGCUCACCAAGGCGACGAUCAGUAGCUGGUCUGAGGGGAUGAUCAGCCACAUUGGGACUGAGACACGGCCCAAACUCCUACGGGAGGCAGCAGUGGGGAAUCUUGCGCAAUGGGCGAAAGCCUGACGCAGCCAUGCCGCGUGAAUGAUGAAGGUCUUAGGAUUGUAAAAUUCUUUCACCGGGGACGAUAAUGACGGUACCCGGAGAAGAAGCCCCGGCUAACUUCGUG